GAUUAUCAACAAACUAUCUGUUGACACCCUGUUAACUACAAUUUAUGGUUAAGGUGAAGGUUAGGGGUUGGAUUUGGUUAAGGUGAUGUUCACUA
Long non-coding RNA from Alosa sapidissima (American shad), 95 nucleotides. RefSeq lists it as uncharacterized. The record is from RefSeq and is a predicted model, not a curated record. NCBI's taxonomy places the organism in Eukaryota, Metazoa, Chordata, Actinopteri, Clupeiformes, Clupeidae. The transcript is spliced from 3 exons.